GUUGAAAACAAUGUAGUUACAUUCAGUUUGAUGGGACUAUUAUUCAAGUCAUGUUGAAACCAAUGUAGCUGCUUCUUUCGUCCCAAUUGCCUCCAUAACACAAGAAGACAAUCAAUGAUAUUGAAUUAAUUUAGAGGUCACAAUCGAACAUGUAUAAUAUGUGUUUGUAGUGGAGAAAAAAUUGUAAGUCGCAAUAUAGACAUUAAUCAGAAUAUCUAGUUCAUCUACAAGCCAAAUAUUAGGUCACAUUCGAAGAUUAACAUUAGAAAUGUCACAAAUGUAAACAAAACCUAGUCACAAUACAGACCACACGUGAAAGCAACCCAAAAUUGCAGUCACCACAAAACAUCUCAAUUAUUACCUUAACAAGAACAACAAUAGUGUUUUCUUCUGAAGUCAUGUUUUGAUGGCAAAUUUCUGCAAAUUUCGAUUUCUAUGUAGUUCUUGUCUUUUUCAUUUAACAUCUGUAACCUCUUUGAUUUUCGAUAAACUAAAGCUUUGUUGGAGCAAAAUUGUUGUUUUUUAAUGUGAAAAGAAACUUGAAUUGUAACCACUUCUCCCUUUUUUUUUGGGGUUACUAACUUAAUUAGUUAUUCAAUUCUAUUUUACAAGAAAUGACGGUCCUCUUUAAAAUUUCUGAUUUUUCCAAAGUUUUAAAUGGUUGAUUAUCAAAAGGUCAACUUAGAAGUUUGUAUACAACAUUUUGUCCCCAAUAAAUGUCAUAGGUCAUAGAGGACAUGGAAAGUCCAUAAGGCAAAUUAAAGUAUACAAACAUAUGUAAUGAUUUUAAAGGCCCGUAAUGCUUGAAAUUUAGUAUAUGUUUUGGAAAUAUUUUCAAUAAAUUAUAUGUUAUAUUUAUUAUUCAGUUAAAAUUAAACUUUAAUUAAAUUAAACAUUCAAAAUCACUACUCAUUAUUAUCAAUGAAUUUCAUAAU
This 935-nucleotide long non-coding RNA is filed under the name Olea europaea subsp. europaea. The record is from RNAcentral. Lineage: Eukaryota; Viridiplantae; Streptophyta; Magnoliopsida; Lamiales; Oleaceae.